This 423-nucleotide ribosomal RNA is filed under the name uncultured bacterium. RNAcentral describes it as "bacterial SSU rRNA". It matches the Rfam family "Bacterial small subunit ribosomal RNA", at positions 355 to 775 of the family's 1533-position model. The record is from RNAcentral.
UGAGGAAUAUUGGUCAAUGGGCGCAAGCCUGAACCAGCCAUCCCGCGUGCAGGAAGACGGCCCUAUGGGUUGUAAACUGCUUUUCCAGGGGGAGAAUUUUUCUGUCGUGACAGGAAUUGACGGUACCUCGGGAAUAAGCAUCGGCUAACUCCGUGCCAGCAGCCGCGGUAAUACGGAGGAUGCGAGCGUUAUCCGGAUUUAUUGGGUUUAAAGGGUGCGUAGGCGGAUUGAUAAGUCAGUGGUGAAAACCUGCAGCUUAACUGUAGACUUGCCGUUGAUACUGUCAGUCUUGAGUGUGGUCAAGGUAGGCGGAAUGUGUAAUGUAGCGGUGAAAUGCUUAGAUAUUACACAGAACACCGAUUGCGAAGGCAGCUUACUGGGCCAUUACUGACGCUGAUGUACGAAAGCGUGGGGAUCGAACAG